This 368-nucleotide long non-coding RNA is filed under the name Setaria italica (foxtail millet). RNAcentral's name for it is "long non-coding RNA (SITA_LNC000188)". Lineage: Eukaryota; Viridiplantae; Streptophyta; Magnoliopsida; Poales; Poaceae. The record is from RNAcentral.
UGCGAGAAAAGGAAAAGGAAGAGAUGUGUGGAUGAGUUGAUAGAAUCACAGGGAGAAGCUAUAGAUAAAUUUGGCAAGAGUUAUCAAGGCCCUGCGAGGAAUACGGGCGCUUCGACGAACCCAAAUGAGUUGGCAAUAGUUGUUGCGGAUGAACCAAGAAAAUGUUAACACCAACGUCGAUGAUAACAAUGUAAGUGACUCUAAGAACAUAGUAAAUGCAUCAGGUGCACAUUAUGCAUCAUGAGAGGGUAAAUGGUUUUGGCAACAUUAUGCAUCGAGAAGAACUUGUUGGAUGAGAUUGACAUCAUCCUUAUCAUAAGUGAUUUUGCAUCGAGAAAUGUUAAAAGAAAUUUUUAAGGUAAUAUGUA